This 468-nucleotide ribosomal RNA is filed under the name uncultured bacterium. RNAcentral's name for it is "partial 16S ribosomal RNA". It matches the Rfam family "Bacterial small subunit ribosomal RNA", at positions 28 to 507 of the family's 1533-position model. The record is from RNAcentral.
GACGAACGCUGGCGGCGUGCUUAACACAUGCAAGUCGAACGGAAAGGCCCUGCUUUUGUGGGGUGCUCGAGUGGCGAACGGGUGAGUAACACGUGAGUAACCUGCCCUUGACUUUGGGAUAACUUCAGGAAACUGGGGCUAAUACCGGAUAGGAGCUCCUGCUGCAUGGUGGGGGUUGGAAAGUUUCGGCGGUUGGGGAUGGACUGGCGGCUUAUCGGCUUGUUGGUGGGGUAGUGGCUUACCAAGGCUUUGACGGGUAGCCCGCCUGAGAGGGUGACCGGCCACAUUGGGACUGAGAUACGGCGCAGACUCCAACGGGAGGCAGCAGUGGGGAAUAUGGCACAAUGGGCGGAAGCCUGAUGCAGCAACGCCGCGUGCGGGAUGACGGCCUUUGGGUUGUAAACCGCUUUCGCCUGUGACGAAGCGGGAGUGACGGUAAUGAGUAAAGAAGCACCGGCUAACUACGUG